Rhineura floridana is the source of this 952-nucleotide long non-coding RNA. RefSeq lists it as uncharacterized. The transcript has 3 exons. Lineage: Eukaryota; Metazoa; Chordata; Lepidosauria; Squamata; Rhineuridae. The record is from RefSeq and is a predicted model, not a curated record.
UGAGAAGCUAGACCUGCUGAAAUCCCCUCUUCUGCUCAGCUACGAAAGGCAGUAUUUAAAUGGGAGUUAACGGGUGAAAGAAUGCAUUGCAGGUUUUUGUUGUUGUUGUUGAGCACAUGAAUAAAAACUUAAAAAAAACCAAAACCAAAGUGAGCCAAGGGUAGCCUGUCUGGUGCCCUUCAGACUCCCAGCUCUCGUCAUCUCUGGCCAUUGGCUGUACUGGCUAAUGGGAGUUGGAAUCCAGCAACAUCUGGGGGGGCACCGUGUUGGCUACCCCUAAAGUGAGCUGUGAACAGAGAAAAUCCUGAUUCAAAAUCUCACCUAAGCAAUGCAUUCGCCAGCUGCCUUUAAGCUAGCCACCUUCUCUCAGCCUCAGUUGCCCAUCUAUAAGAUGGGGAUAAUGAAACAAAAGGUAAAGGUAAAGGUGUCCCCGCACUUAUAGUGCGAGUCGUUUCUGACUCUUAGGGUGACGUCUUGUGACAUUUACUAGGCAGACCGUAUAUAUGGGGUGGUUUUGCCAGUUCCUUCCCCAGCCUUUCUUUACCCCCCAGCAUAUGCCGGGUACUCAUUUUACCGACCACGGAUGGAUGGAAGGCUGAGUGGACCUCGACCCCUUUUUACCGGAGAUUCGACUUCCUCCUUCCAUUGGAAUCGGACUCCGGCCGUGAGCAGAGCUUUCGGCUGCGUUACUGCCGCUUACCACUCUGCACCACGGAGGGCAAGGUGAUCUUUAAAACAAGGGUGAGGGAACCUGCUGCUCUCCAAAUGUUGCUGGAGUCCAGCUCCCAUCAGCCCCAGCCAAUAUGACCAAUGGUCAGAGAUGAUGGGUACUGGAAUCUAACAUCGUCUGGAGGGUCAUAGGUCCCCCACCCGCUUUAAAAAGUAGUUGCAAGUGACUGGCAAUAUGAUUGUAAACCUGCAAAAUGAGAUUGUAAACCAGGCUGGAGUCUCC